UACAGAGGUGGCAAGCGUUGUUCGGAAUUACUGGGCGUAAAGGGCGCGUAGGCGGCCUUCUAAGUCAGACGUGAAAUCCCCCGGCUUAACCUGGGAACUGCGUCUGAUACUGGAAGGCUUGAGUGCGGGAGAGGGAUGUGGAAUUCCAGGUGUAGCGGUGAAAUGCGUAGAUAUCUGGAGGAACACCGGUGACGAAGGCGGCAUCCUGGACCGACACUGACGCUGAGGCGCGAAAGCUAGGGUAGCAAACGGG
This 253-nucleotide ribosomal RNA is filed under the name uncultured bacterium. Its description in RNAcentral is "partial 16S ribosomal RNA". It matches the Rfam family "Bacterial small subunit ribosomal RNA", at positions 524 to 776 of the family's 1533-position model. The record is from RNAcentral.